GUACUCCCUUCAGCAGCAUAUAUACUAAAAUGGGAGCGAUACAGAGAAGAUUAGCAUGGUUCCAGUGCAAGGAGAAAAAGGACAAGGUGAGUGAAAGAACCAGUUAUU
Zalophus californianus (California sea lion) is the source of this 108-nucleotide small nuclear RNA. NCBI's taxonomy places the organism in Eukaryota, Metazoa, Chordata, Mammalia, Carnivora, Otariidae. The record is from Ensembl.